This 253-nucleotide ribosomal RNA is filed under the name uncultured bacterium. RNAcentral describes it as "partial 16S ribosomal RNA". It matches the Rfam family "Bacterial small subunit ribosomal RNA", at positions 524 to 776 of the family's 1533-position model. The record is from RNAcentral.
UACGGAGGGUGCAAGCGUUAUCCGGAAUCACUGGGUUUAAAGGGUGCGUAGGCGGCUAAAUAAGUCAGAGGUGAAAGCUUGCAGCUUAACUGCGAAAUUGCCUUUGAUACUGUAUAGCUUGAAAGGAGCUGAGGUCAGCAGAAUGUGGCAUGUAGCGGUGAAAUGCAUAGAUAUGCCAUAGAAUACCAAUUGCGAAGGCAGCUGGCUGGGCUUACUUUGACGCUGAGACGCGAAAGCGUGGGGAGCAAACAGG